GGGAGAACCACCGAUCUCCUUCUUGCUCACGUUCACGCUCAUCCUUUAAAUCCUUACAAGGAGUCUAAAAAUAACGCACCUUGCUUCUGGGUAGAAAGGAGGGUAUACCAUUCAUGCAUCAGGUGUUUACAACCAAAUCCAUGAGAGACCCGCUUAUAGUUGAAGCUUUGGAGUGCAGGGAGGCCCUUCUUCUAGAUAAGGAUAAAGGUUAUAGCAGAGUCAAAAUUGAAUGCUCUUGUGGUUAUUCAAUCUCUCGGAGUAAACCAAUUCCAAUUGAUAUUGAGGGGUGAUUGAAGAUAUUCUUUCUCUGGCUUCUGGGUUUCAAGAGAUGAGCUUCAGUUUUUGUUAAAAGAUCUUGCAAAGGUGCCGCACACGGUCUAGCAGCAAAAACCUUGCCGAUGCGUCUAGCACCUCGUCAACUUGUAAUCCAAGAAAUCAAUUGAAUCACUAACUUGGCCGUUAAAAU
Molecule: unclassified non-coding RNA, 466 nt
Filed under: Hevea brasiliensis (rubber tree)
Lineage: Eukaryota; Viridiplantae; Streptophyta; Magnoliopsida; Malpighiales; Euphorbiaceae
Source: RNAcentral